Dioscorea cayenensis subsp. rotundata (Guinea yam) is the source of this 107-nucleotide small nucleolar RNA. RefSeq annotates it as small nucleolar RNA Z103. The record is from RefSeq and is a predicted model, not a curated record. The transcript has a single exon. NCBI's taxonomy places the organism in Eukaryota, Viridiplantae, Streptophyta, Magnoliopsida, Dioscoreales, Dioscoreaceae.
UGGGAUCUGAUGAACCUUUCCCCACAUGAUCGACUAUGAAUACAAUGUGCGCUAAAUCUAGUUUUCUCCUUUUCGGAGGAGAAUCCAAGCCAGAAGUUCUGAUCCCA